Long non-coding RNA from Zophobas morio, 729 nucleotides. RefSeq lists it as uncharacterized. NCBI's taxonomy places the organism in Eukaryota, Metazoa, Arthropoda, Insecta, Coleoptera, Tenebrionidae. The transcript has 3 exons. The record is from RefSeq and is a predicted model, not a curated record.
UUUAAUUAUUGAUUAGUCUCAUAAUUUCAUAUUAUCUUUUAUUACCAGCGGUAAUUCUAAACGUUUUAUUCAGCUUAUGAUAGUUUGAGGUUAAGAUUACUGUACUGUUAGAGCCAAUCGCAGGUGUAGAUUUCGUGUUUUAGAACAGGAUGGGUGUUUUUACUUUUAAAGUAGUUAAGUAGUCACUUUCGAGUUCAUCCUUUUAUUUUCUUGAGUUUACUUAAUUGGAUUCAAGGGGUUAAAUUGCAAUUUGUUACUUUAACAUCUUUACCUAUUUUUCCUUGGUAAAUUAAGGGUUCAUUUAUGUAUUCUUUAUCAUUUCUUCGCUAUUUAUGUUCAAAAAUUUAAUUCAACGGAAAAUAGAAAUAGUAAUUUAUCAGAAAUGACACAAUUUUUAGUCCACUUCAAACCAGGAGUGCUGUACGCAUUGGCUGCAUCUUGUUAUCUCUUAGAGUAUUCAAAAUCUCGUCCUUGUAUCGUUUGUAAACUUUUAGUCGGACUUUAGUUAAAAAGAAAUAAGCUUCGUUUAAUACUACAUAUAAUGCUGCAAUACUUAAGCGACUGGGCUCCCUUCACGGAGAGGGAGACGUACCGUUUUUUAUAUUCGAAGAAUUGUCGAAGUAACUCAAGAAAUGACUUCAAAACGAUCUUUACCAGUUACACUACAAUACUUACUUUUUGUGUUAAACUGGAAGACAUAGAAAAAUAGUUAAAAGUAGCAUCCAUUUC